GACGAACGCUGGCGGCGUGCUUAACACAUGCAAGUCGAACGGAAAGGCCCUGCUUGCAGGGUGCUCGAGUGGCGAACGGGUGAGUAACACGUGGGUGAUCUGCCCCUUAUUUUGGGAUAAGCCUGGGAAACUGGGUCUAAUACUGGAUAGGACCAUGCUGUAGGUGGUGUGGUGGAAAGAUUAGUUUCGGUAAGGGAUGAGCUCGCGGCCUAUCAGCUUGUUGGUGGGGUAAUGGCCUACCAAGGCGUCGACGGGUAGCCGGCCUGAGAGGGUGGACGGCCACAUUGGGACUGGGAUACGGCCCAGACUCCUACGGGAGGCAGCAGUGGGGAAUAUUGCACAAUGGGCGCAAGCCUGAUGCAGCGACGCCGCGGGGGGGAUGACGGCCUUCGGGUUGUAAACUCCUUUCAGCCAUGACGAAGCCCUUGUGGUGACGGUAGUGGGAGAAGAAGCACCGGCUAACUACGUG
Molecule: ribosomal RNA, 469 nt
Filed under: uncultured bacterium
Lineage: Bacteria
Description: partial 16S ribosomal RNA
Rfam family: Bacterial small subunit ribosomal RNA
Source: RNAcentral